AAGGACUUCUACAUUGUGGUUUUAUCUCUGACUUCAUCAUGAGGUUUCUGGUUUCACAGCCUCUGCUGGUGUUCAUAUCAGUCCUGUCACUGACCAGAGCACAAUCAACAUCUGCACCAAUAACAUUAUCAACAGAAGAAACCACUACAGAAACUACAUCAGUCACACCAGAAACUACAACAACACCUGCACCAACAACAACAUUGACAGAAACCACUAUAUUAGCAACGACAUCAUUCACGGCAGAAACUACAACAGCUGUAUCAUCACCACCACUACCAACAACAACAACAUUAGAAACCACUACAGAAACUACAUCAGUCACACCAGGUAAUAAAACUGCAAGUGAUUAAAAGAAAAUCAUCAUACGGCUAUGCUGCAUUUUUUGUUUGUUUUCAUUUUUUCUAAUGUAGUUUA
Molecule: long non-coding RNA, 417 nt
Organism: Cyprinus carpio (common carp)
Lineage: Eukaryota; Metazoa; Chordata; Actinopteri; Cypriniformes; Cyprinidae
Source: Ensembl